GACAGAGGUGGCAAGCGUUGUUCGGAUUUACUGGGCGUAAAGCGUGCGUAGGUGGUUCGGUAAGACCUGUGGGAAAGCCCGGGGCUUAACCCCGGAAGGUCGCAGGUGACUGCCGUGCUUGAGGACGGGAGAGGAGAGCGGAAUUCCCGGUGUAGCGGUGAAAUGCGUAGAGAUCGGGAAGAAGGCCGGUGGCGAAGGCGGCUCUCUGGAACGUUCCUGACACUGAGGCACGAAAGCGUGGGGAGCAAACAGG
Molecule: ribosomal RNA, 253 nt
Filed under: uncultured bacterium
Lineage: Bacteria
Description: partial 16S ribosomal RNA
Rfam family: Bacterial small subunit ribosomal RNA
Source: RNAcentral